This is a long non-coding RNA of Gymnodraco acuticeps, 421 nucleotides long. RefSeq lists it as uncharacterized. Lineage: Eukaryota; Metazoa; Chordata; Actinopteri; Perciformes; Bathydraconidae. The transcript is spliced from 2 exons. The record is from RefSeq and is a predicted model, not a curated record.
CUUUUGAGUGGAACAGAGGUUCAGCAGAGCAAUCACAGGGAUCACUCUGCCACCCAGCUGAGCGAGGACCUCAGACAGCUUCUCAGUGCCAACAUGAUCCUCACACUUCAUGACCUGGAGGGAGACAAAAGAUCAAAGGUGCUUGAAUCUGUGGAAAAAGUGACAUCCUUUUAACAGCCACUUUGGUCCUUCCACACCAGACACCCCCUCAGUCAUGAUACCAGGAUGUAGGUCAGGGAUGCUUUGAGGAGAAUGCUGCGAUAGGAUAUGAUCAUAUGAAUGCACAAACAGUGUGUGCAUUAAUAUGCAUACAUACACACGCAUAAAUAAUCAUUGUCAAAGUGUGUAACAUAACUAUUAUGAGAAAUUGUCACAGUGAAUGGGAAGUAAAACAGACAUUAAAGAACAUUUCCACCACAAA